This 84-nucleotide microRNA precursor is filed under the name Callithrix jacchus (white-tufted-ear marmoset). Its description in RNAcentral is "mir-515 microRNA precursor family". It matches the Rfam family "mir-515 microRNA precursor family". The record is from Rfam by way of RNAcentral. Lineage: Eukaryota; Metazoa; Chordata; Mammalia; Primates; Cebidae.
UCUCAUGCAGUGAUUCUCCAAGGGGUGGCACUUUCUGUCUGAAAUAAAGCAAAGUGCUUCCUUUUAGAGAGUUACUUUCUGAGA